CCCAUUUUCCCAAAGAAACCCAAAUUCCCUUCCCCAGAAUUUCACCUAAGAUUUAAGAUUAAGAAGGAAAAUAUUUUCCUUCGUAAUGAAGAUAUCAAGCCUCUUAGCAGCCUCAGUGGCCGCUUCUGCUUCUGCCAUUUCCGCUUCCUCGUCUUCCAAAAUUCACUCUCUGCACGAGGUAAAAUCAUUUCCCACGUCUUUUUCUUCUCCUUUUUCAAUUAAAUGUUUAUUGGAUAAAGCUUUUAUUGGUUAAAAAAUUGAUUAAAUUUCAUUUUUAGUUACAAAUUUCAUUGGAUUCACAACUUUUUUCCACUUUUUCACCACAUUUCAUGGCACCAACGAUAUUUUAUCAACUUUUACCAAUAUCACAGAACCCCUAAAUUUGAAACCUAUUUUCUAACCGAGAAAACUAAUUAUUUUGAGAUCUAGCUUUACGUUGAAUUUUGACGAUUUUUUCUGUAAUUUUUAGGAUGCGAUUGUGAGGAAAAAUAGGGAGAAUUCAACAUCGCAGAGGCCGUCUUCUUCUUCUUGUUCCAAUAAAUUUGCGCCAAGAUUUGAUGGAUUAAGGUUCAUAGAGACACUGAUUACUGCUCAUAGAUGAGUGAAAUACGUUGUAAAAAAAAUGAUAAGAAAAAUGCUUAAUUUUAGUGGUUAUUAAGCUGUUUGUCCUAAACUGUAUUAUAUAUUGGCUAAAAACUGUGAUGAUGUUGAGAGAAAUUUAAGGAAAAAAAAAAUUGGGGAGAUUGUCAAUGAUAAUGAGAGAUGAAUUGGUUUGCAC
This 778-nucleotide long non-coding RNA is filed under the name Olea europaea subsp. europaea. Lineage: Eukaryota; Viridiplantae; Streptophyta; Magnoliopsida; Lamiales; Oleaceae. The record is from RNAcentral.